Molecule: ribosomal RNA, 492 nt
Filed under: uncultured bacterium
Lineage: Bacteria
Description: partial 16S ribosomal RNA
Rfam family: Bacterial small subunit ribosomal RNA
Source: RNAcentral
AUUGAACGCUGGCGGCAUGCCUUACACAUGCAAGUCGAACGGUAACAGGCCUUCGGGUGCUGACGAGUGGCGAACGGGUGAGUAAUGCAUCGGAACGUGCCCAGUGGUGGGGGAUAACGCAGCGAAAGCUGUGCUAAUACCGCAUGUGAUCUGAGGAUGAAAGCGGGGGACCUGGCAGCAAUGUUUGGCCUUGCGCCUUUGUAGCGGCCGAUGUCAGAUUAGGUAGUUGGUGGGGUAAAGGCCUACCAAGCCGACGAUCUGUAGCUGGUCUGAGAGGACGACCAGCCACACUGGGACUGAGACACGGCCCAGACUCCGACGGGAGGCAGCAGUGGGGAAUUUUGCGCAAUGGGCGAAAGCCUGAUCCAGCAAUGCCGCGUGCGGGAAGAAGGCCUUCGGGUUGUAAACCGCUUUUGUUCGGAACGAAAAGGCUCUGGCUAAUCCCUGGGGCUGAUGACGGUACCGUAAGAAUAAGCACCGGCUAACUACGUG